GUUCGCUAUCACUCUUGGAUGGACCUGCGGUGCAUUAGCUAGUUGGUAGGGUAACGGCCUACCAAGGCGAUGAUGCAUAGCCGAGUUGAGAGACUGAUCGGCCACAUUGGGACUGAGACACGGCCCAAACUCCUACGGGAGGCAGCAGUAGGGAAUCUUCCACAAUGGACGCAAGUCUGAUGGAGCAACGCCGCGUGAGUGAAGAAGGGUUUCGGCUCGUAAAGCUCUGUUGUUGGUGAAGAAGGACAGGGGUAGUAACUGACCUUUGUUUGACGGUAAUCAAUUAGAAAGUCACGGCUAACUACGUGCCAGCAGCCGCGUAAAU
This 325-nucleotide ribosomal RNA is filed under the name uncultured Lactobacillus sp. Its description in RNAcentral is "bacterial SSU rRNA". It matches the Rfam family "Bacterial small subunit ribosomal RNA", at positions 207 to 524 of the family's 1533-position model. The record is from RNAcentral. Lineage: Bacteria; Bacillati; Bacillota; Bacilli; Lactobacillales; Lactobacillaceae.